Molecule: ribosomal RNA, 715 nt
Filed under: uncultured bacterium
Lineage: Bacteria
Description: bacterial SSU rRNA
Rfam family: Bacterial small subunit ribosomal RNA
Source: RNAcentral
GGGAUAAUCGGAAGAAAUUCCGUCUAAUACCGCGUAACGUCCCGGGAGGGCAUCCUCUUGGGAUUAAAGGAGCGAUCCGGCUGCGGAUGGUCAUGCGGCGCAUUAGCUUGUUGGCGGGGUAACGGCCCACCAAGGCGACGAUGCGUAGGGGUUCUGAGAGGAAGGUCCCCCACACUGGUACUGAGACACGGACCAGACUCCUACGGGAGGCAGCAGUGAGGAAUAUUGGUCAAUGGCCGGGAGGCUGAACCAGCCAAGUCGCGUGAGGGAAGACGGCCCUACGGGUUGUAAACCUCUUUUGCCGGGGAGCAAAUGGCGGGACGCGUCCCGCGUCGAGAGUACCCGGAGAAAAAGCAUCGGCUAACUCCGUGCCAGCAGCCGCGGUAAUACGGAGGAUGCGAGCGUUAUCCGGAUUUAUUGGGUUUAAAGGGUGCGCAGGCGGGAUGUCAAGUCAGCGGUAAAAUCGGGAGGCUCAACCUCUCUCAGCCGUUGAAACUGGCGUUCUUGAGUGGGCGAGAAGUAUGCGGAAUGCGUGGUGUAGCGGUGAAAUGCAUAGAUAUCACGCAGAACCCCGAUUGCGAAGGCAGCAUACCGGCGCCCGACUGACGCUCAUGCACGAAAGCGUGGGUAUCGAACAGGAUUAGAUACCCUGGUAGUCCACGCAGUAAACGAUGAAUACACGGUGUGCGGCCCGAACGGGGGCUGCGCGGCCAAG